RNAcentral lists this ribosomal RNA (538 nucleotides) under Salmonella enterica subsp. enterica serovar Kentucky. RNAcentral describes it as "partial 23S ribosomal RNA". It matches the Rfam family "Bacterial large subunit ribosomal RNA", at positions 1 to 569 of the family's 2925-position model. The record is from RNAcentral. Lineage: Bacteria; Pseudomonadati; Pseudomonadota; Gammaproteobacteria; Enterobacterales; Enterobacteriaceae.
GGGUUGUGAGGUUAAGCGACUAAGCGUACACGGUGGAUGCCCUGGCAGUCAGAGGCGAUGAAGGACGUGCUAAUCUGCGAUAAGCGCCGGUAAGGUGAUAUGAACCGUUAUAACCGGCGAUUUCCGAAUGGGGAAACCCAGUGUGACUCGUCACACUAUCAUUAACUGAAUCCAUAGGUUAAUGAGGCGAACCGGGGGAACUGAAACAUCUAAGUACCCCGAGGAAAAGAAAUCAACCGAGAUUCCCCCAGUAGCGGCGAGCGAACGGGGAGGAGCCCAGAGCCUGAAUCAGCAUGUGUGUUAGUGGAAGCGUCUGGAAAGGCGCGCGAUACAGGGUGACAGCCCCGUACACAAAAGCGCAUGUGUUGUGAGCUCGAUGAGUAGGGCGGGACACGUGGUAUCCUGUCUGAAUAUGGGGGGACCAUCCUCCAAGGCUAAAUACUCCUGACUGACCGAUAGUGAACCAGUACCGUGAGGGAAAGGCGAAAAGAACCCCGGCGAGGGGAGUGAAAAAGAACCUGAAACCGUGUACGUACAA